UAUAUAUAUAUAUAUACAUAUAUAUAGAGGUUUUUCUUUCCAUGGAUAAACCCUAUCUGCUUCCCCCUUUACACGUUACAUCACGACAUUUCUGUGAUUCACGAUCCCUAUUGAUCAUUUCUUUUUUUUUCUCUUUCCUUUUUACGAUCCCUUUUGAUCGAAAACCUACCCCACUUUUUCUUUUUCUCUUUCUCCCCAAAACAAAAGCUCUACUUUGUAAUUUGUCCCGUCUGUGUUCAGCCCUGUGUGGCUAAUAAAGAAACAUAUAUAUAUAUGUGUGUGUGUGCUGACCAACACUGUAUUUUUAUCUUCAUUAAUAAAGGGGCUGUUAGCCUCUGGCCAGCAGGCCUGAUGAGUCCCCUAUAUUGCUGAGAGUGAUAAUAGGCCUGAAACCAAUGGUACUUCCAGACCAGCCACAACCAUUAUAUAUAUAUAUGUUCCGGGUUCAAUCCCACUGCGUGGAAACUUGAUUUUUACAUGUUUCACAUCUCUCAAACUCCGAAACGCGUAUACAGUUAAUCAGAGCCGGGUGGAUUUGUUUUUUUUCUCUCUUUACCUGCGUCAGUUGUAGAGUAUUGCUGUCUGGGAGAUAUCUUAUGGUAGUGAAAAAAUAGUAGUUUAACUGCUAUUUCUAAAUUUCAGUAUGUGGUGAAGCAAAUUUUUGCUGAACCCUAAUUAUAAUUAUACUCAUAAUUAUAGAAUUUUUGUUUAAGUUUACCGAUAAUGGUUCUUUUAACAUACCAAACUACUUGGUAAAAUUAUCAAUUAUUAAUUAAUUUUACACUUUAUUAUUAUAGAUAGAUAGAGAGAUGCUGCGUUGAUUGCGAAAUCACAGUUGAUCUGGAGCUAAAUUCUGUUUUUAAAUGACUCGCUUCGAGAAUUGCAUUCAGUACGAUUUGUUUAUAUUUGGUAGUUAUGACUUUAAGAGUCCCUCCUAGCAUGCGGCAUUUAUGUGUAAUAGUGCCCUCUAUAUAAUAUAAAUAGAUAGAGAGAUAGAUAGAUAGAUACACACACACACAUGCACGAGAAUAUACACUCAUUACACAAUCGAUUAAGUUACAAGCCAUUGUUUUGUACAGCCGGCAGCAACCACCAAAACUAUUCCACUGUCCCCCUCUCCUGGUUUUGUUCAUGGCUAUUCAGUGUUUGUGUGUGAAAGAUAUAUAUAUACAUUUGUUUCUCUGUUUUGUACGAAUGUGUAAAUGAACACACGAACAUAUAUAUAGGUUUGUGUGAGUGUAUAUGUGUGUGUAUAUGUAUAUAUGCAUAUAUAUAUAUAUAUAUAUAUGUAAACAGCAGUGGUGUAAUUCCCUUAUAGGACUGUCACGUUAAGUUGACAGUAUACAACCACUCUAUAUAUAUAUAUAUAUGUAUGUAUAUAUAUGGAUCAAAACAAUUUGCUUCAAAUUUGUUGGUACUCUGGAUUUUCUAGACACUUCAAACUCAAGAGUACUAAUGAAUUUGAUUUGAUCCAUAUAUAUAAUAUGCAUAUUAUAUAUAUAAAGAGAGAGAUACACAUAUACACAUGUAUAUCAGGGCAAUUCCAUAAAAACAAGAUAUCUAACAACAGUUGUCACACACACACACACAUUGUAUAAUAUAUAAAAGUUGUGUAUCUAUGUGUAUAUAUGUAUGUAUAUACACACAUAACAUAUAUGUUCUAUACACAGAAAAUUAAAGAUAAUAUGAUUGAUUUAGCAGUAGUUUGUUCAAUGUAUGAGUAAAGAUGCAAAUUUGUAUAUAUAUAUAAGUAUAUAAAUACAUAUACAAGUUACUAUGCACAUACAUGCAUACGUGUGUAUAUAUAUAUAUAUAUAAGAAAAAAAUGACAAAGGAAAAAAUGAUUACCCUAUGAACUUCAUUGGCUUACAGUCGUUUCUGCUAUAGGAUGCAAUGAACUCACAGUUGAGUGCUAGAAAUUGCACUUCACACACUUACACAUUCAAAGUUCUGAUGAGGAUAUAAGGUAUAGCUCAGGCACUCAACCAAGUGUCCACUGUAUCUCACAGCAGAAACACCUGUAGGCCAAUGAAUUGCAUAAGAUUAUUGUUUUUCUUUUUGUCAUUGCCUUUUUUUCUUAUUCUUGCUUUAUACUUGUCUAACACUUUGUUCUGAAGCACAUGCAUGCUGUGUUCUGCAAAAACAUUAUUAGCCUUGCAAUGUCUGACCAAAUUAUUAAAGCAUAUGUGUGUGUGUGUGUGUGUGUAACACAAAGGAUUUGGGAAUGUGUUUUUAAUGUGUGUGUAUAUGUGUAUAUAUAUAUAUAUAUAUAUAUAUAUAUAUAUAUAUGAGUAUGUAUGUGUGUGUGUGUGUGUGUGUGUUUAUAUAUAACACCAGGAAUGUGUGUGUGUGUAACACAAAGGAUACAGGAAUGUGUUUUUAAUGUGUGUGUGUGUAUAUAUAUAUAUAUAUAUAUAUAUAUAAAUGAGUAUGCGUGUGUUUAUAUAUAUAACACCAGGAAUGUGUGUGUGUAAAUGCAAAUAUGUAAUUACACAUUCGUUAAGUUACAAAAUAAUAAAAUGUAAACAAAAGCAUAACAAAAAAGGAAAAGAAUAAUGCAACAUGUGAAAGCAUGAACUGAAAGACUAAAGAAAAUGUACAAAAACUCAUCAGGUGAUGUUGUGGCUAGCAUCAUCUUCGGUUGAGUGAAGAGACGGAAGCUGUCAAUAUGUUUGUGUGUGUAUAUAUAUAUAUACAUAAAUAGUAUGUCUAUGUAUAUACAUGUAUACUGAUCUGUAAAUAUAUAUCAUAUAUAUAUAUAUAUAUACACACAUAUUUAUAUGCAUAUAUACACACACAUACAUACACACACACAUAUAUAUAUAUAUAUAUAUAUAUAUACUUGCACAUACAUAUUUGGGUUUACAAAUAAGGGAAAUGCAUGCAAAACUUGAAUGAGUAUUUUUUCUUUUGUUUGUACACAACCCAAACUUGUGUGUGUGUAUAUAUAUAGAUAUAUAUAUACAUUUAUAUGCAAUAGUAAAUAGACACCCUGCAUUAUGCCGUUGCAUCAGUGGCAGUCAUUAUUGCCUGGUGCUCUGAUCUCAAUCUAUUAUGCUCCAAGACAUCAUGUCCGUUAAAUAUGAGAUUAAUUACUUAACGACAUUAUUUUCUUUCUAGAAAUAAAUCUUUCAAAAAUGAUGGCAUCUAUUCACUUUUGCAACGUCUGUUUUUUAUGUAUAUAUCUAUAUAUAUAUAUAUAUAUAUAUGUGUGUG
RNAcentral lists this long non-coding RNA (3216 nucleotides) under Octopus vulgaris (common octopus). The record is from RNAcentral. Lineage: Eukaryota; Metazoa; Mollusca; Cephalopoda; Octopoda; Octopodidae.